Molecule: ribosomal RNA, 94 nt
Filed under: uncultured bacterium
Lineage: Bacteria
Description: partial 16S ribosomal RNA
Rfam family: Bacterial small subunit ribosomal RNA
Source: RNAcentral
CCGCCCGUCACAUCAUGAAAGCCGGUUGUACCCGAAGUCCACUCAGCUAACCGCAAGGAGGCAGUGGCCGAAGGUAUGGCUGGUGAUUGGGAUG